AUGGCCUGUGUAGCAAGCAAUGCAUAUGAUCUCUCACAGCAAGGUACUAUCUUUAGGGAGGCCAAGUAUAUGCUGUUUACUGGUUUGAUCGAGUACAAAGUUGUAUCCCGUGUCCAAGAAUGUAAUCGUGUUGCUCAUACAUUAGCGGGUCAUGGUGCGUCUAUGGAACCUGAUGCUCAUUUGUUGUGGCAUGGUACGGUUCUAGACUUUGUAAUCUCUGAUGUAGCCAGAGAGUAUGCACGCACUAUGCUGCGAGGAGAGGACAGAUCGAGUGCCGUAUGUGUGUGUGAAUCUACUAGUGUCCGAUUUAUGUUCAUGAAUCAGCUCAUAUGUUGUUUCUCGUGUUGA
RNAcentral lists this ribosomal RNA (348 nucleotides) under Triticum aestivum (bread wheat). RNAcentral's name for it is "partial small subunit ribosomal RNA". Lineage: Eukaryota; Viridiplantae; Streptophyta; Magnoliopsida; Poales; Poaceae. The record is from RNAcentral.